This 298-nucleotide long non-coding RNA is filed under the name Carica papaya (papaya). RNAcentral's name for it is "long non-coding RNA (CPAP_LNC011101)". Lineage: Eukaryota; Viridiplantae; Streptophyta; Magnoliopsida; Brassicales; Caricaceae. The record is from RNAcentral.
UGGGCGCCAAAAUCAUAAACUUCAAUACCCCGUCUGGUAUGAGGGUGAAACGGGUCGUCCCCAUACCCCGUCCGGUAUGGGCGCCAAAACACAUAAGGUCUUCAUACCCCGUCCGAUAUGAGAGACCACGUUUUCGGUAGGGUUCUCUAGGGACCCGAUCCGUCCACUAUCUCCUAGGAUAUCUAAUGAGGGUGUCGACAUUAUCCAUUAUCAAUUCACGUGCCUUUUUACUAUUUUUCUUAAUCUCAAUUAUCCAAUCAAAUACAAACACGUAAAUCAGUAAUAGAUAUCAAAUAAG